This 99-nucleotide ribosomal RNA is filed under the name uncultured bacterium. RNAcentral's name for it is "partial 16S ribosomal RNA". It matches the Rfam family "Bacterial small subunit ribosomal RNA", at positions 1384 to 1482 of the family's 1533-position model. The record is from RNAcentral.
UACACACCGCCCGUCACACCAUGGGAGCAGGUUCUGCCAGAAGUAGUUAGCCUAACCGCAAGGAGGGCGAUUACCACGGCAGGGUUCGUGACUGGGGUG